AUGAAAAAAAAAAUUAGAGACAUCAACCCUACAAUGUUCUUAAAGCGCCAUUUAUACGGAAUGUAAUAGGUACUAAAUUUUUGCUUUUUCAAAACUUUCCUAACUCCAGUGGUGCUCUUGGCAGAGUUGUGUGUGACCCUUGUCUUGUGUUAUUGGAAACCUUGAUGCAGAGACAAUGAAAGCAAAAUUUUCUGUGACAUCCUUAUAACUUCUUAAAAUUUGUUUUGAUUAGGGCCUUAGAAAGACACCUCUAUAUCUAAUACUGUAUUCUCUCGUUAUAACAACACUCAUUAUAACGAAAAUCUCUCUUUUGCGAAGGAAUUGCCCGGUCCCUUGAACGAUUUUCUCGCUAUAACGACACUCAUUAUAACAAAAAUCUCUCUUUCGCGAAGGAAACGCCUGGUCCCUUGCCGAUUCAUUAUAGCAAGAGAGUACCGUACGUACGUUAUGUCUCAGUAGCUCAGCAUAAAUGCACUCAACCCAGGAUAGAGACUCAUUAGUAGCAGGUUCAGUACCACUUAUCUCACCUUCAAAUUAGCUUCAUUAAAUCGAAUUACACUGAAAAACAUGACCUCCGUGCAAGCAGUACAAAAACACUUACCUUAUCAACGACUAUGACAGAAGCUCCAAAA
This is a non-coding RNA of Bemisia tabaci, 632 nucleotides long. The record is from RefSeq and is a predicted model, not a curated record. NCBI's taxonomy places the organism in Eukaryota, Metazoa, Arthropoda, Insecta, Hemiptera, Aleyrodidae.